UGGACUAUCUUGAGGCCCCCAGCCGUGAGGAAUCCCGAGCCACAUGAAGAGGCCAUUUUUAGGCACCCUGGGCUACUGUCCUAGCUGGGGUCCCUCAAGCAAUUUCGCUUCUAAGAAUAAUCCUUCUCCCAAAGACCCAGUUCCUCACCUGCCACAGGUUUACAGUAUGACUUCAGCUCAGUUCUUCCUUUUCUCUCAUGGUUCAACUAAGACUGGCUUCUAACAAAGACUAAGCUGAGACACAUUAGUCUCUCUGCUAGUAAGCAGUCAAUAUUUGUGGUAUCCUAGGACUGGAUACCAUAGGCAAAUGCAAGAGGCUUGGACUGACCUCAGGCAUGAACAAAGGUGGCCAAAUAUUGCUGGUCCUUGGAGCUCUCUGCACCUUAUCUGGGAGGCAGUAAGAUAGCCAGAAGCACAGUUUCUGAAGCCAGAAUACCUGCCUUUGAAUCUCAGCUCUGCAAUUUAUAUCGCUGUGUGACCAUUGGCAACUGACUUAACUUCUCUAUGCCUUGGAUUCCUCUGCUGGAAACUAAGAAUCUUAAUAGGAACAUUUGCCUUUUUUGUGCUAU
Long non-coding RNA from Prionailurus viverrinus (fishing cat), 569 nucleotides. RefSeq lists it as uncharacterized. The record is from RefSeq and is a predicted model, not a curated record. Lineage: Eukaryota; Metazoa; Chordata; Mammalia; Carnivora; Felidae. The transcript is spliced from 3 exons.